CAUUGUAGGCUUUGGAAACUGUUUAACUUGAGUGCAGAAGGGGAGAGUGGANUUCCAUGUGUAGCGGUGAAAUGCGUAGAUAUAUGGAGGAACACCGGUGGCGAAAGCGGCUCUCUGGUCUGUAACUGACGCCGAGGCUCGAAAGCGUGGGGAGCGAACAGGAUUAGAUACCCUGGUAGUCCACGCCGUAAACGAUGAGUGCUAGGUGUUAGGUCCUUUCCGGGACUUAGUGCCGUAGCUAACGCAUUAAGCACUCCGCCUGGGGAGUACAACCGCAAGGUUGAAACUCAAAGGAAUUGACGGGGGCCCGCACAAGCGGUGGAGCAUGUGGUUUAAUUCGAAGCAACGCGAAGAACCUUACCAGGUCUUGACAUCCCGAUGCUAUUUCUAGAGAUAGGAAGUUUCUUCGGAACAUCGGUGACAGGUGGUGCAUGGUUGUCGUCAGCUCGUGUCGUGAGAUGUUGGGUUAAGUCCCGCAACGAGCGCAACCCUUAUUGUUAGUUGCCAUCAUUGAGUUGGGCACUCUAGCGAGACUGCCGGUAAUAAACCGGAGGAAGGUGGGGAUGACGUCAAAUCAUCAUGCCCCUUAUGACCUGGGCUACACACGUGCUACAAUGGCUGGUACAACGAGUCGCAAGCCGGUGACGGCAAGCUAAUCUCUGAAAGCCAGUCUCAGUUCGGAUUGUAGGCUGCAACUCGCCUACAUGAAGUCGGAAUCGCUAGUAAUCGCGGAUCAGCACGCCGCGGUGAAUACGUUCCCGGGCCUUGUACACACCGCCCGUCACACCACGAGAGUUUGUAACACCCGAAGUCGNUG
This 817-nucleotide ribosomal RNA is filed under the name uncultured bacterium. RNAcentral describes it as "bacterial SSU rRNA". It matches the Rfam family "Bacterial small subunit ribosomal RNA", at positions 615 to 1432 of the family's 1533-position model. The record is from RNAcentral.